AAGUAACGUCCUGCCAAACCCA
Molecule: non-coding RNA, 22 nt
Filed under: Arabidopsis thaliana (thale cress)
Lineage: Eukaryota; Viridiplantae; Streptophyta; Magnoliopsida; Brassicales; Brassicaceae
Source: RNAcentral